RNAcentral lists this long non-coding RNA (454 nucleotides) under Anser cygnoides (Swan goose). RNAcentral describes it as "lncRNA (ENSACDG00005000654.1)". Lineage: Eukaryota; Metazoa; Chordata; Aves; Anseriformes; Anatidae. The record is from RNAcentral.
CAGAAACGGGGCCAGCACGCUUUAUAGGACUUCACUACCACACAUCAAGAAAUAACCGUUCAAUAAGCUGCCCAGGACUCGGACAUCCACAGCAACACGCCAGUCCGAAGGCUGCUUUUGCCUUGGGUGAAAGAUUUUCAUCUCCUGACCAUCAAAACCAAGCCAACAGGAGCCUACGCAGGCCGCGCAUCUGACUGCCGACGGGCACUCGAGCGCUCCAAGCAGACCCACUGCUCAGCUAACCCUUGUUGUCACCCUGACAUACGCCAUCCCCGUGAGACAAGGAUACUGGAGCAUCCAGGGACCACCACGGUUUCCAACAUGGCCAGACCUCUGCCAGACUAGCAGGGAAUGUUUGAGGAAGAAGGUCUGUGCCCAACCAAGGCCCAGGACUUAUUUCCACUUAAGAUACCACUAGAAUAAAUUUGGGACAGUUUUAAAGCUUCUGUGGCUC